AGAUAAAAAGAGACCGAAUACGAUUCCUGUAUUCGGUCCAGGGAAAUGGCUCCAGAGAAAGAGCCGUGCGCUAAAAGUUGGCAUUAAUGCAGGCUUAGUCGCCGUGCUUAAUAAUAAUAGUUGACCAUACCAGGUUUUCCAGUCU
RNAcentral lists this small RNA (145 nucleotides) under Klebsiella sp. RIT-PI-d. Lineage: Bacteria; Pseudomonadati; Pseudomonadota; Gammaproteobacteria; Enterobacterales; Enterobacteriaceae. The record is from RNAcentral.